This 2020-nucleotide long non-coding RNA is filed under the name Equus asinus (donkey). RNAcentral describes it as "lncRNA (ENSEASG00005025271.1)". Lineage: Eukaryota; Metazoa; Chordata; Mammalia; Perissodactyla; Equidae. The record is from RNAcentral.
CAGUUGCCAUGGGCUUAACCAUCUAUUUAUAGUUAGAGAAACAGAGUUUAGAGCGGUGCUCUCUUCUUCCCUCUGAAGUAUUUACCUAACAUUCCUUAAUCCAUGAAGACAUUUCUCUGUGACUCCUUUGUCCAUGUACUCCUUCAGAGAAGUGGCAUGCUUUCAAAGCACAAAGGAUUAUUGCAAGUCACUGUGGGCAAAUAAGUCUAGCAUAGAUUUGGGACAUUGAAAAUAUAAGAAAAUUACCAUGUCCUCACAUCGUAGGAAAGGGUGUCUUUUUAUAUCUAGAUAUCACUUACUUUCAGGAUGAUAAUUGAUCUAUUGUCAUUAAUUUGCCACACAUUUAUGAGAACCAACUACGUGCAAAGCACAAUUAACACUUCGAGAAACUGCUUUUGACUUCUGAAAGAGGAUUUAUUUGCACGGCUACACCCUGAAAUAGCAAAGCGUUAUUGGCUGCUUCUUUAGAAUCCUGGUUGGAGCUUGGAAAGUAAACCCUUAACAUAUUUACAUAGAAGUAGGAAAAUCGGUCUCCCCAACGUGAAGGGGCAAGUAAGGCCUAGGAGAAAGUGGCCACUGUAGGCAAUUUACCCCCAGAGCCAGCAGCUCCCUUUGCAGUCAAGACACAGCCCCACCUGAGCCCCCUGGCACGGCCACAUACAUGGGUGAGGAGGCCCAGUUUCUCCUGUGGAAAGCAGAGCUUCUAAAAUGAACUCUGGCAGUUUAACACCAGGCAGUCUUCCCUAGAGUGGGAGCACCUGAGUCUCCCCUCCCGCCCCAUAGCCUGAGUCUAUACAGCUUCCUAGAGCGAGCAGCUGCUCUUCCUUGGGUGGGGCCCCCUCAUGGCAGUGAUCCCUGCCUGCCUGGGCUCUGUGGCCCAGACUUAUAGCUAGCUGGUUUCCCUCUUCAGACUAGCUUCCUCGCCAGCCUGACUGAUCCCAACACCUAAUCUAACCUCCUACCUCCCACUAAGGGAGCCACUGUCACUCUGCAGGGCUCAUGUCGAUUAACACAGGCAGCAGGGGGAGAAGUGGGCUGGGCCUCUGGUCAGCAUCCCCCUACCACACGUUUCUCUGUAAACGGCCAUUUCAGAGUCCUGUUCAGGAUCCCUGUCAGAAACCCCACCAACAAGGAGCCAGGAGGGGACAGAGCUCCACAUUUGAAACCUUCGAAGCCAGAGGGAAUGUUAAGUCUUUUCCAUGGCUGAGCAUCAGGCUGGCAGAGCACAGAGCAUUUGGUGUGCCCCACAUAUUGUCUACCAAGUCUGAGUUAUAUGAACACACACCAGCUGGACAGUAGGAGGAAGCAGCUAAGAAACCAGUCUGGGACAGAACAUUCGCCUUGGGUGACUGAUGUGCAAAUAACGAAGAGUGGCUAUGGUUUGCAGCCCAGUUGUCUCCCGAAGGUGACAGCAUUAAAAUCAAGACCCACUUCUAGUGUGCCCUGGAAUUUGCAUACUCUUACUAAGAGUCAAAGAGUCUGGGUCAAUCUAAAAUUACAGCAUUUGGUUGCAAAAGUAGACCCACCUAUUCCCCUGUGUAGCUAUCCUCUUAACUCUGAAUUGUAGCUCUCCUUAUCAAGCAGUAGAGUCUGCGUCCCCACUUCUUGCCUCUGGACUGGCCUUCUGACUUGCUGUGACCCAUAAAAUGAAGCAAAAGGAGUGGCAUGCCGUAUCCAAGCCUAGGCAUCCAGCGGCCCCGCGCGCUUCACUCCCUCUCUUGGAAUGCUGCCUUGGGCAUGAGCCCAAACCUGGGCUAGCUGCUAGGAUGAGAGACCACACAGACCCAAGCUGAGGUCCCAGAUACGUGAGAGAGCCCAGCCAAGAUGAGCAAAGUCACUCUGCUAACGGAGUGCACACAAAUGAGAGUCUCCCUGGGACCUGAACUCUCCACCUGACCCACACACUCACGACUUACAUAAAUGCUUAUUGCUGUAAGCCACUGCGUUUUGUGGUUGUUUCUUACAUAGCCUUAUUGUGGCAACAGACAACUGGCACAGAACUUCUUCGCUGUGCUAGUUU